This 505-nucleotide small RNA is filed under the name Histoplasma capsulatum. Its description in RNAcentral is "hypothetical RNA". RNAcentral also lists the same sequence under 1 other name. Lineage: Eukaryota; Fungi; Ascomycota; Eurotiomycetes; Onygenales; Ajellomycetaceae. The record is from RNAcentral.
CUACCGCUGCCAACCUACCUACCGCUGCCAACCUACCUACCACUGCUAAUCUAUCACUGCUAAUCUAUCGCUGCCAACCUAUAUAGGGUAAAUCAUGGUCCCAUUUGGUCCCAUUUUGUAAAAUGGGACCAAAUGGGACUGAGACCACUAAUUUAUUAGUAAAACAUGAUCUGGGACUAGAUUUAUAAUAUAAACAGUGUAAAGUGACUAAUUUACUAAACACUAUAUGGGACCAGGACUAAGAUAUCUAAUAAUGGGACUGAGGAAAAAUUUGGUCCCAGUCCCAUGCAUGGUCACACGGCCAGUCUAGUGCAGUUUAUACAAUUCAUUUCAAUAGUACUAUCAACAGACUUGACACUAUUCUGAUAACAGUUUAUAAAUUGAUUAAGAAAAGAAAGAGAAAGAGAAGCAGAAAAAAGGAUUGUAUGAAAGAGUUCUUAUAGAUAGAGGAAUUGAAGUGAAAGAAAUAUUGAAGAUUGUAUUCUGAGAGAGCACAGAGUGAAAG